CGUGAAUCAUCUACCUUCGAGUGGGAAUAACCUAGGGGAACCGUGGGCUAAUACCGCAUAACACUUACGAGUCAAAGCAGCAAUGCGCUUGAAGAGGAGUUCGCGGCAGAUUAGCUGGUUGGUGAGGUAAUGGCUCACCAAGGCGAUGAUCUGUAUCCGGCCUGAGAGGGCGCACGGACACACUGGAACUGAAACACGGUCCAGACUCCUACGGGAGGCAGCAGUGGGGAAUCUUGCACAAUGGAGGAAACUCUGAUGCAGCGAUGCCGCGUGAGUGAAGAAGGCCCUUGGGUUGUAAAG
Molecule: ribosomal RNA, 300 nt
Filed under: uncultured Acidobacteriaceae bacterium
Lineage: Bacteria; Pseudomonadati; Acidobacteriota; Terriglobia; Terriglobales; Acidobacteriaceae
Description: bacterial SSU rRNA
Rfam family: Bacterial small subunit ribosomal RNA
Source: RNAcentral